GGACCCACACAAGCAGUGGAUCAUGUGGUUUAAUUCGACAAUAAACGAGGAACCUUACCCAGGCUUGACAUCCUUGGAAGUCCGCGGAAACGUGGAUGUGCCCGCAAGGGAACCAAGUGACAGGUGCUGCAUGGUUGUCGUCAGCUCGUGCCUUGAGGUGUUCGGUUAAGUCCGUUAACGAGCGCAACCCACGUCGUUAGUUACUAUGUCUAACGAGACUGCCUAGGUUAACUAGGAGGAAGGUGUGGAUGACGUCAAAUCAGCAUGGCCCUUACGCCUGGGGCCACACACAUGAUACAAUGGUCGGUACAAUGAGCAGCGAUGCGGUAACGCGGAGCCAAUCUCAUCAAAGCCGAUCUCAGUCCAGAUUGAGGUCUGCAACUCGACCUCAUGAAGUUGGAAUUGCUAGUAAUCGUGAAUCAGCUAUGUCACGGUGAAUAUGUUCCUGGGUCUU
This 454-nucleotide ribosomal RNA is filed under the name uncultured bacterium. Its description in RNAcentral is "bacterial SSU rRNA". It matches the Rfam family "Bacterial small subunit ribosomal RNA", at positions 917 to 1382 of the family's 1533-position model. The record is from RNAcentral.